GAAUUUUGGGCAAUGGCCGCAAGGCUGACCCAGCGACGCCGCGUGCGGGAGGACGCCUUUCGGGGUGUAAACCGCUGUCAGGGGGGACGAACCGCCGGAAGUCGAACAGGCUUACGGUCUGACGGUACCCUCAAAGGAAGCGCCGGCUAACUCCGUGCCAGCCGCCGCGGUAAGACGGAGGGCGCAAGCGUUGCUCGGAAUCACUGGGCGUAAAGGGCGCGCAGGCGGAUGGGUAAGUCGGGGGUGAAAGACCGGGGCUCAACUCCGGGGCGGCCUCCGAGACUGCUCGUCUGGGGACCGGUAGGGGCAGGUGGAAUUCCCGGUGUAGCGGUGGAAUGCGUAGAGAUCGGGAAGAACACCGGUGGCGAAGGCGGCCUGCUGGGCCGGAUCCGACGCUGAGGCGCGAAAGCGUGGGGAGCAAACAGG
This 426-nucleotide ribosomal RNA is filed under the name uncultured bacterium. Its description in RNAcentral is "bacterial SSU rRNA". It matches the Rfam family "Bacterial small subunit ribosomal RNA", at positions 359 to 776 of the family's 1533-position model. The record is from RNAcentral.